RNAcentral lists this ribosomal RNA (512 nucleotides) under uncultured bacterium. RNAcentral's name for it is "partial 16S ribosomal RNA". It matches the Rfam family "Bacterial small subunit ribosomal RNA", at positions 28 to 523 of the family's 1533-position model. The record is from RNAcentral.
GACGAACGCUGGCGGCGUGCCUAAUACAUGCAAGUCGAGCGGAUGGAAGGAAGCUUGCUUCCUAAAAUCAGCGGCGGACGGGUGAGUAACACGUGGGCAACCUGCCCAUAAGAUCGGGAUAACUUCGGGAAACCGGAGCUAAUACCGGAUAUGAUUAUGUCUCACAUGAGACAUAAUGGAAAGACGGUUUCGGCUGUCACUUAGGGAUGGGCCCGCGGCGCAUUAGCUAGUUGGUGAGGUAACGGCUCACAAAGGCGACGAUGCGUAGCCGACCUGAGAGGGUGAUCGGCCACACUGGGACUGAAACACGGCCCAGACUCCUACGGGAGGCAGCAGUAGGGAAUCUUCCGCAAUGGACGAAAGUCUGACGGAGCAACGCCGCGUGAGUGAAGAAGGUUUUCGGAUCGUAAAACUCUGUUGUUAGGGAAGAACAAGUACCAUAGUAACUGAUGGUACCUUGACGGUACCUAACCAGAAAGCCACGGCUAACUACGUGCCAGCCGCCGCAGUAA